RNAcentral lists this long non-coding RNA (280 nucleotides) under Lactuca sativa (garden lettuce). RNAcentral's name for it is "long non-coding RNA (LSAT_LNC002568)". The record is from RNAcentral. Lineage: Eukaryota; Viridiplantae; Streptophyta; Magnoliopsida; Asterales; Asteraceae.
GGAAAUGAGCGGAUUUCAUCAAUCUGUCGACUAUUACCCAUAUGGUGUCCAAUNCGACUAUUACAUAUGGUGUCCAAUCCAUCUGUUGACUUGGGUAAUUUGGUCACAAAGUCCAUAGUAAUCCUUUCCCAUUCCCCACUCGGGAAUUACUGGUUGCUGUAAUAAUCCCGAGGGCUUCUGAUAUUCCACCUUCACUUUAGCGCAAGUAAGGCAUUUGCUAACAUAGGUGGCAAUCUCUGCCUUCAUGUUGGGCCACCAAUAAUGUUGAUUAAUGUCCAAG